This is a long non-coding RNA of Lynx canadensis (Canada lynx), 1765 nucleotides long. RefSeq lists it as uncharacterized. The transcript has 3 exons. NCBI's taxonomy places the organism in Eukaryota, Metazoa, Chordata, Mammalia, Carnivora, Felidae. The record is from RefSeq and is a predicted model, not a curated record.
UGAGAUCACGACCUGAGCCAAGAUCAAGAGUCGUGCUUAACUGACUGAGCCAUGCACGUGCCCCAAGGGUCUAGAUAUUUUCUGUCUACUCUGACAUCUCAGUAUCACCUUCACGUAAAGGCUCAUUUUCUGAGUAGCUGUGGUUUGGUCACAGCUCAGUUGAGUGUUCAUGCCUGUCUAUUCACAUCCAGCAGGAGGGAGGUCUGGUGUCCUGUGUUCUCUGACGUGGGCCACAAUGGAUGGGGAGGGAAGAGAGAAAGGUAGGUGAGAUAUGAAUGCUAUUCCUUAGCAAUAGGUACAGACCUGAUCCAAUAGCCAGGCUUUCUCUUCAAAGGGUGAGUUAAGGAUUGAGCAGGGAUAGUUGAAACCUAAUCUCACGGGGCUGGGGUCAGAGCCAGGAAUGCAGUCAUUGCAAAUUGGCGAGCCUGUGUGCUGGGAGAGGAGUUUUGUCUCUAAAGGUGCUGGGAAUAGGAAGUUUUAUAUCUCAGUUUCAGAAUCCCGAGGAUACCAAGAAUAAGUGAGGAAACCGACUUAAUGUGGAGCAGAUGGGCUAUCUCGCCAGAGCCCUUUUGAUGUUGUUGCCUUUCUCUGGAGCGGGGUUUGGAGUGGGGCUUCGGGUCCUGAUGGGGUUCAUGUGGCUUCAGCUGUGGACAUUAGGGAGCGGGCCACAGCAUGACACCAUGCAGGAAAUAUGUGCUAUAUUCUGGCCCAAAUAUUCUGAUUGAAUUAAGAGGCAAAGAAGAAAUCCAGUGAAUAGGAGAGACCGAAUCAAAUAUAACAUGCAGCAAGAUGUUAAAAUGAAACUUUAAAAACCUCAGUUUCAGCAGGGGCUCCCAAAGCCAAAACAAAGCCCAGGUGCCCCAUGUUUUGAAACGAGGGGCGCUCUGUGUGUGAGACUUGCAAAGGGAAUGGCCCCAGGUGAGUUGUGUGUUAGUGAACCACACGCCUCCAGCCUAGAAUGGAAUCAAGGUGCAAGAGGUGAGGAAAAGGAGGGUGCUUUUGUGCAGAGAGCUGUCACAGAGCUGUGGUGUUUUUCCUUCUCUGCUGGGAAGGGUGGGGUGAUGCCUUCUAUCUCAAGCCAGGUAACAGAGGGGGUGUGUUGGUUUCCUGGGAGGCUGUAACACAAUACCACAAAGUGCUUGGCUUAAAGCGAUGGAUAUUCAUUGUCUCACAGCUCUGAAGCCUUCAAGUCUGAAAUCAAGGUGUUGUUCGGGCCAGGCUCCCUCUGCAGCCUCUAAGGAAGGAUCCUUUUCUGUCUCCUCCAGCUUCUGGUGGUGCCUGACAAUCCCUGGCACUCCUUGUCUUGUGGCAGCGUUAUGCCAGUCUCUGCCUCUGUCGUCACAUCUUCUCCCUGUGUGUGUCCGUCUCUUCUUAGAAGGACACCAGUCAGAUGGGUUUCAGAGCCCACUCUACUACAGCAGGACCUUGUGUUAACUUGAUUACAUCUGCAAAGACGCUAUUUCCAGUGUUCUGUCCAGCUCCCUUCUUAACCUGGGAAUCUGCAUCCACCUGGCCCCUGUCUGUUGGCUGACUCCCAUCACAGAUUCUUGGAAGUCCUGUGUCCAAUGAGGAAAAUGCAGAAAACUGUUGGUGAAGAACUUGACAAUCUGAUGAUUGAUUACUUUGUGGACCUUGAAUGGAAACACUGCACCCCUAUUAUAUCAGGGGGAGGAAGUGAAGUGAGGAAAAACCUCUUGUCUAGAUACAAUAUUGCUUUUUGUACAACAGAGUAUGAAAUACAUGUAUUUUUGAAACUUUAAAAAAA